Non-coding RNA from Benincasa hispida (wax gourd), 481 nucleotides. Lineage: Eukaryota; Viridiplantae; Streptophyta; Magnoliopsida; Cucurbitales; Cucurbitaceae. The record is from RefSeq and is a predicted model, not a curated record.
ACCGACCCAUUUAAUUAUAUGAACCGAAUCCUGGCCUUGGGAUUUCGAUAUCAUUGGUUUGCAACACACUAUCUCCAACAGAGUAAGGCCGAAGCUGUACACAUCACUUUUUGGGCUUAGCCUGUUUGAUGUUGUGUACCUGAGAGAGAAUCCAUGAAGUUCUUGAAAUAUGUCUUUUUCAAUUAUCUUUCCUUCUGAGGAUCAAUUAAAAGACAUCAAAUGGAGAAGCACAAUGGCUUGAGAAAUGUUUGAAAUUAGUACUUACUCCGGGUCAAGAUACUAGAAGAUUACCUGAAAGGUGCUGUGCUAAACUUCCAUUGGGCAUGUACUCAAAAAUUAGGCCAAGGUAGAAUUUGCUGAUAGUCCACAAUCCAAGCUUAUGAAACCUGAGAGAUCAAUUUAUCUUUUUCCAAAUAUGUUUUUAAGAAUGUUGACAGACAGAAUACAAAUAUAUGGCUAACAAAAUUUACCUGAUUGAUCU